UUUUAUGGAGAGUUUGAUCCUGGCUCAGGACGAACGCUGGCGGCGUGCCUAAUACAUGCAAGUCGAGCGAAUGAUGAGAAGCUUGCUUCUCUGAUUUAGCGGCGGACGGGUGAGUAACACGUGGGCAACCUGCCCUGUAGACUGGGAUAACUUCGGGAAACCGGAGCUAAUACCGGAUAAUUCUUUUAGCCUCAUGGCUUUAAGCUAAAAGGCGCUUCGGCGUCACUACAGGAUGGGCCCGCGGUGCAUUAGCUAGUUGGUGGGGUAACGGCCUACCAAGGCAACGAUGCAUAGCCGACCUGAGAGGGUGAUCGGC
This 316-nucleotide ribosomal RNA is filed under the name Candidatus Kurthia intestinigallinarum. RNAcentral describes it as "bacterial SSU rRNA". It matches the Rfam family "Bacterial small subunit ribosomal RNA", at positions 1 to 308 of the family's 1533-position model. The record is from RNAcentral. Lineage: Bacteria; Bacillati; Bacillota; Bacilli; Caryophanales; Caryophanaceae.